UACAGAGGGGGCAAGCGUUGUUCGGAAUUACUGGGCGUAAAGGGCGCGUAGGCGGCCUGUUAAGUCAGACGUGAAAUCCCCGGGCUCAACCCGGGAACUGCGUCUGAUACUGGUAGGCUUGAAUCCGGGAGAGGGAUGUGGAAUUCCAGGUGUAGCGGUGAAAUGCGUAGAUAUCGAGAGGAACACCUGCGGCGAAGGCGGGUUGCUGGGCUGACACUGACGCUGACAGCGCGAAAGCUAGGGGAGCGAACGGG
This 254-nucleotide ribosomal RNA is filed under the name uncultured bacterium. RNAcentral's name for it is "partial 16S ribosomal RNA". It matches the Rfam family "Bacterial small subunit ribosomal RNA", at positions 524 to 776 of the family's 1533-position model. The record is from RNAcentral.